Schistosoma haematobium is the source of this 45-nucleotide non-coding RNA. Lineage: Eukaryota; Metazoa; Platyhelminthes; Trematoda; Strigeidida; Schistosomatidae. The record is from Rfam.
AUCCAGCUGACGAGUCCCAACUAGGACGAAACACGCGUCCUGGAU